Molecule: RNase P RNA, 391 nt
Filed under: Thermaceae bacterium
Lineage: Bacteria; Thermotogati; Deinococcota; Deinococci; Thermales; Thermaceae
Description: RNase P RNA component class A
Rfam family: Bacterial RNase P class A
About the family: Ribonuclease P (RNase P) is a ubiquitous endoribonuclease, found in archaea, bacteria and eukarya as well as chloroplasts and mitochondria. Its best characterised activity is the generation of mature 5'-ends of tRNAs by cleaving the 5'-leader elements of precursor-tRNAs. Cellular RNase Ps are ribonucleoproteins.
Source: RNAcentral
UGGGAAGAGGGCACGGUCGCUGCUCCGCAAGGCGGCAGAGGAAAGUCCGGGCUGCACAGGGCAGGAUGCCAGCUAACGGCUGGGCGGGGCAACCCGACGGAAUAGUGCAACAGAAAGCAAACCGCCUCCCUCUUACUUCCCUCUCCCCUUGUGGGGGAGGGUCAGGGUGGGGGGGAUGGUAAGGGUGAAACGGUGGGGUAAGAGCCCACCAGUGCCCCUGGAGACAGGGGGAGCUAGGCAAACCCCAUCUGCUGCAAGUCCGUAAGUCCGAUCAGGGAGGUUUAGCCCGAACCGCUUGAACCUACGGCAGAGACGCUCGAGGUGGCUGGCGACAGCCAUCCCAGAGAGAUGACCGUGGAAACAGAACCCGGCUUACACCUCUUCCCAAUUU